GGAACUCUGAGACAGGUGCUGCAUGGCUGUCGUCAGCUCGUGUUGUGAAAUGUUGGGUUAAGUCCCGCAACGAGCGCAACCCUUAUCCUUUGUUGCCAGCGGUCCGGCCGGGAACUCAAAGGAGACUGCCAGUGAUAAACUGGAGGAAGGUGGGGAUGACGUCAAGUCAUCAUGGCCCUUACGAGUAGGGGCUACACACGUGCUACAAUGGCGCAUACAAAGAGAAGCGAACUCGCGAGAGCAAGCGGACCUCAUAAAGUGCGUCGUAGUCCGGAUUGGAGUCUGCAACUCGACUCCAUGAAGUCGGAAUCGCUAGUAAUCGUAGAUCAGAAUGCUACGGUGAAUACGUUCCCGGGCCUU
RNAcentral lists this ribosomal RNA (360 nucleotides) under uncultured Enterobacteriaceae bacterium. Its description in RNAcentral is "bacterial SSU rRNA". It matches the Rfam family "Bacterial small subunit ribosomal RNA", at positions 1023 to 1382 of the family's 1533-position model. The record is from RNAcentral. Lineage: Bacteria; Pseudomonadati; Pseudomonadota; Gammaproteobacteria; Enterobacterales; Enterobacteriaceae.